RNAcentral lists this long non-coding RNA (2381 nucleotides) under Sus scrofa (pig). Its description in RNAcentral is "lncRNA (ENSSSCG00000057258.1)". The record is from RNAcentral. Lineage: Eukaryota; Metazoa; Chordata; Mammalia; Artiodactyla; Suidae.
UUUUCUCUUUUAUAUUAGAAUGCCUUGCAGUAAUAUCUGGUCAUUCAAGAGGAAAACAUCCACAGCUGACUGGAAGUUCCAGGAGCGUGGAAAGGCGUUACAAGUGGUGGGUUUUACUGCAGGGCAGCAUGGAGGAGAGCUGAUCUUGUCACAGGAGGCAUUUUCCAUUGGACUGGUCAGUUUUCCCAGAAAAGAAUCCUUCACGUUCCUCUCCAAUCAGGACUAUGGCAAGCCACCAACACUUUGGAAAAGAAGAGAGAACUGGGGUCUCACUGUUCAGUAUGCAGACUUUCACUUGAAAUCUCCUUAUUUUCUUCUUUUUUUUUUUUGCUUUUUAGGGUCACACCCUCGGCAUAUGAAGUUCCUGGGCUAGCUAUAGCUGCCGGUCUACACCACAGCCACAGCAAUUCAAGAUCUGAACCACAGCUGUGACCUACACCACAGCUCACAGCAACACCAGAUCUUUAACCCACUGAGUGAGGCCAGAUAUCAAACCUGCAUCCUCAUGGAUACUAGCUGGAUUCAUUUCUGCGGCACCACAAAGGGAACUCUUUCUUAUAUAUUACCUGUCCCUCCACUGUGUCUGACUGUUCAAUCCACAUCUGGAGUUCCUGUCAUGGCACAGUGUUGAAAGGAAUCCGACUAGGAACCAUGAGGUUGCGGGUUCCAUCCCUGCCCUCGCUCAGUGGGCUAAAGAUCUGGCAUUGCCAUGAGCUGUGGUGUAAGUCGCAGACUCGGCUCAGAUCUGGCGUGGCUGUGGCUGUGGCAUAGGACAGCAGCUGUAGCUCUGAUUAGACCCCCCCAAGCCUGGGAACCUCCAUAUGCCGCAGGUGUGGCCCUAAAAAGCAAAAAAAAAAAAAAAAAAAAAAGAGUCUUGGUCAGUUGUGUCCAUUGUUUUAAUUUGAAUUUCUCUGCUGACAAAUCUGAUGACAUUUUUUUUCAUGUAUUUUUAAUAACAUAUCUCUCAGGAAUUGUUCAUGGACAAAACUCAUUUUUUUUCAAGUGGAAUAUUAGAUAAUUUCUUACUUAUCAUCUCUUAAUUUGUUAAAGACAGAAAUCCUUUUAGACCAGAUUUAUGAAAAAUAUUUUUCCAUUUUAUUAUUUGUUGGAUUUUUUGUUGGCUUGAUUGUUACAUUUCUGCCGUAGAAUUUUUUAAAAAUUUUUACAUGAUCAAAAUUAUCACACUUUUCCUUCAUGCCUAGAAAGCCUUACAAUUCCAGGAUCAGAUAAAAAUUACUCAAUAUUUUCUCCUUUCAUUUGCAUGUUAUGAAUUUUUCACAUUUUACACUUUCUCCCUGGGAUUUAAUUUGUAGUCUUUUCUCCUAGUCAGUUAACCAGGUGACUGAACACUGUUUAUUAAAUAAUCGUCAGUUUUUCAACUAAUAUGCAAUCUAGCCCUGACCACGUCCCUAUCGUAAACUCUUCUUUGUAUUAGAGUCUGUUUUUGGUCUAUUUCAACCCCAUUUGUCUGUUGAUUUUUAUUCCAGAACAUCCAGUUUUAAUUACCAUAACUCUAUAGAACAUUACAAUAUUUACUAGAGAAAAGCCUGCUUAUUGCCCUUCUUUUCAAAUAUUUUUUAGCUCUUUCAUUCCAUUUACUAUUCAAGAUUAACUUUAGAAUACACGGUCAAGUUUCCAGAAAAUAAAAGCAGCGAAAUGAUGUCGACUAGAAUUACAUUAAAUAUGUACAUUCAUUUGAGAAGAAUUAACUUGUUGACAGCAUCUGUUUCUCCUCUCUAAGAAGAUGACUCCUUUUCCAGCUAGCCAAGCCUUCUUUUCUUUCUCCUGCUGAAGAUGUAUUGUCUUCUUCAUACAGAGUCUGUGUAAUUACUCAAGGAGUUUAUUUUUAGACAGUUUAUAUUUUUGUGCUAUUUUGAAUGAUUUUAAUCUUUCUAUGUUCUGAUUAUCACUAUUACACCAGAAAGUCACUGAUGUUUGUAUAUUUAUUGUCUGUUGAAUUGACUCACUCAACUCUCAUUUUUAAAAAUAAUGUUUCCGUUUUCCCAAAUAUCUUUGCUUUCCUAUGUAGACAACAAUUUCACCUGGGCAUGUAAAUGUUUAUCUGUUCUAUGUCUUAUUCCUGUCCCCACGUGAGUAGAUUGGCAUAAAAGGGAUUGUUAACAGCAUUGUUAUAACUCUGGCCUUAAUGGAAUAAUAAUUGCUCUUUUUUUUUUUUGGCCAUCCCUGCAGCAUGUGGAAAUUUCCAGGCCAGGGAUCGAACCCAUGCCACAGCAGGAACCUGAGCCACUGCAUUGACAACGCCUGGAUCCUUAAUCUGUGGCGCCACAAGAGAACUCCAAUAAUUGCUCAUUUUUACUGAGCAUUUUCUACACGAUAAUCGCUUUGCCAAAGGAUUUAGGUGGAAGUUCCCAUAUGAUACA